RNAcentral lists this ribosomal RNA (253 nucleotides) under uncultured bacterium. RNAcentral describes it as "partial 16S ribosomal RNA". It matches the Rfam family "Bacterial small subunit ribosomal RNA", at positions 524 to 776 of the family's 1533-position model. The record is from RNAcentral.
UACGUAGGGUGCGAGCGUUGUCCGGAAUUAUUGGGCGUAAAGGGCUCGUAGGCGGUCUGUUGCGUCGGGAGUGAAAACUCAGGGCUUAACCCUGAGCCUGCUUCCGAUACGGGCAGACUAGAGUGCGGUAGGGGAGACUGGAAUUCCUGGUGUAGCGGUGAAAUGCGCAGAUAUCAGGAGGAACACCGGUGGCGAAGGCGGGUCUCUGGGCCGAUACUGACGCUGAGGAGCGAAAGCGUGGGGAGCGAACAGG